UUACUCGGGGAUAGGCUUUCGAAAGAAAGAUUAAUACCCGAUGGUAUAGUUAUACCACAUGGUUUUACUAUUAAAGAAUUUCGGUAAACGAUGGGGAUGCGUUCCAUUAGGCAGUUGGCGGGGUAACGGCCCACCAAACCUACGAUGGAUAGGGGUUCUGAGAGGAAGGUCCCCCACAUUGGAACUGAGACACGGUCCAAACUCCUACGGGAGGCAGCAGUGAGGAAUAUUGGUCAAUGGAUGAGAAUCUGAACCAGCCAAGUAGCGUGAAGGAUGACUGCCCUAUGGGUUGUAAACUUCUUUUAUAAGGGAAUAAAGUUGACUAUGUAUAGUCAUUUGUAUGUACCUUAAGAAAAAGCAUCGGCUAACUCCGUGCCAGCAGCCGCGGUAAUACGGAGGAUGCGAGCGUUAUCCGGAUUUAUUGGGUUUAAAGGGAGCGUAGGCGGAUGGUUAAGUCAGUUGUGAAAGUUCAAGGCUCAACCUUGAAAUUGCAGUUGAAACUGGUCAUCUUGAGUGCAGUAAAUGUGUGCGGAAUUCGUGGUGUAGCGGUGAAAUGCUUAGAUAUCACGAAGAACUCCAAUUGCGAAGGCAGCUCACAGGAGUGUAACUGACGCUGAUGCUCGAAAGUGUGGGAAUCAAACAGGAUUAGAUACCCUGGUAGUCCACACCGUAAACGAUGAAUACU
RNAcentral lists this ribosomal RNA (685 nucleotides) under Bacteroides eggerthii. RNAcentral's name for it is "bacterial SSU rRNA". It matches the Rfam family "Bacterial small subunit ribosomal RNA", at positions 133 to 817 of the family's 1533-position model. Lineage: Bacteria; Pseudomonadati; Bacteroidota; Bacteroidia; Bacteroidales; Bacteroidaceae. The record is from RNAcentral.